CUACGGGGUGCUCCAGUGGGGAGUAUUGGACAAUGGGGGAAACCCUGAUCCAGCAAUGCCGCGUGUGUGAAGAAGGCCUGCGGGUUGUAAAGCACUUUCGGUUGGGAGGACUGCUUCUAGCACUAAUAUUGUUGGAAGUUGACGUUACCUUCAGAAGAAGCACCGGCUAACUCCGUGCCAGCAGCCGCGGUAAUACGGAGGGUGCAAGCGUUAAUCGGAAUUACCGGGCGUAAAGCGCGCGUAGGCGGCUAGAUCAGUCGGGUGUGAAAGCCCCAGGCUUAACCUGGGAACUGCAUCCGAUACUGUCUAGCUUGAGUACAGGAGAGGAGAGUGGAAUUCCACAUGUAGCGGUGAAAUGCGUAGAUAUGUGGAGGAACACCAAUGGCGAAGGCAGCUCUCUGGCCUGAUACUGACGCUGAGGUGCGAAAGCGUGGGGAGUAAACAGGAUUAGAUACCCCUGUAGUC
RNAcentral lists this ribosomal RNA (465 nucleotides) under uncultured bacterium. RNAcentral's name for it is "partial 16S ribosomal RNA". It matches the Rfam family "Bacterial small subunit ribosomal RNA", at positions 339 to 795 of the family's 1533-position model. The record is from RNAcentral.